This 1063-nucleotide long non-coding RNA is filed under the name Papio anubis (olive baboon). Its description in RNAcentral is "lncRNA (ENSPANG00000040055.1)". Lineage: Eukaryota; Metazoa; Chordata; Mammalia; Primates; Cercopithecidae. The record is from RNAcentral.
ACAAGGUUGAACAAACUUACAUAAAGAUGAUUAUCUUUUUUUUUAAGAAAGGAAAUGGGUGAGUCCUUGAACCAAUUUUUCGAUGUCUUUGGAAGCUCUAGGUAUUUGUUUUUUCUAAACAUAUUCUUUGGAGAAGCCUGGAGAGAAAAGGAAAGUGGUCCAAGUGCACACAGAUUGUAAAUCCACAGCUCCCAUCAACAGCAGCAAAGAAAUCAUCUUGACUCAAGCAGGCCACCUCUGAGAUAGGAAAUGAAGCCUCAGGGGAACAUAGGGAAUGAAAGUCCCUGAGUCAGAAUGACACGCUGCUUCCAGGAGACACACAAAAUGGCACUGAGUCCUGUCUUCCCCCAAGGGGGACGUUUUCUAAAUGGCAGCAAAGUAGAUAUUGCGCUGGGCAAUCAAUCAAGUCACUGGCCUCUGCUAAUUCUACUCUCUACUUCUAUGAGAUCAACUUUACUAGAUUUCACAUAUGAGUGAGGUCAUGCAGUAUUUGCCCUUCUGCACCUGGCUUAUUUCACUUAACAUAAUAUCCUCCAGGCUUAUCCAUGUUGCUGCAAAUGACAGGAUUUCAUUCUUUUUUUAAGUCUGAAUAGUAUUCCUUUACAUAAAUAUAGCACAUUUUCUUUAUCCAUUCAUCUGUUGGUGGACACAUAGGUUGAUUCCAUGUCUUGGCUAUUGUGAAUAGUGCUACAAUAAACAUGGGAGUGCAGAUACCUCUUUGACAUAUUGAUUUCAUUUUCUUGGGAUGUAUACCCAGCAGUGGGAUUGCUAGAUCAUGUUGUAGUUCUAUUUUUAAUUUUCUGAGGAAUCUCUCUACUGUUUUUUAUAGUGGUUGUACAAAUUUGCCUUCCCACCAACAGUGUAUAGGAGUUUUUUUCUCCACAUCUUCACCAGCAUUUAUUUUUUGUCUUUUUAAUAAUAGCCAUUCUAACUGGGGUGAAAUGAUAUUUUUUGUGGUUUCAAUUUGCAUUUCCCUGAUGAUUAUGAUGUUGAAGCAUUUUUUCAUAUACCUUGGGUAUUUUUAUGUCUUCUUUUGAGAAACAUCUAUUCAGAUCUUUUGCCC